RNAcentral lists this small nuclear RNA (237 nucleotides) under Sorex araneus (European shrew). RNAcentral's name for it is "7SK RNA (ENSSARG00000019923.1)". It matches the Rfam family "7SK RNA". From Rfam's summary of the family: 7SK was discovered as an abundant small nuclear RNA in the mid-70s but a possible function has only recently been suggested. Two independent studies have found that 7SK RNA binds the CDK9/cyclin T complex (known as elongation factor P-TEFb). Lineage: Eukaryota; Metazoa; Chordata; Mammalia; Eulipotyphla; Soricidae. The record is from RNAcentral.
GCUUGCAACACAGACACGUGUGUCCCUCCUGAAGCUGCAUGCUCCAUUGGAGAAGACAGCCUUCCCGAGAAGAGACAGACCGGUCUUCGCUCCAGGGCAUACGAGUAGCUGCGCUCCCCUGCUAGAACCUCCAAACAAGCUCUCAAGAAAUGUGCCAUAACCCCUACAGAAUCCCUUCAGCCUGGGGGUAUUUUCUUUUAAAAUGCUGCAAGUGAAAAUAGUUCCGCUCCAGUAUUU